GCAGUCGUGGCCGAGUGGUUGUAAGGCGAUGGACUAGAAAUCCAUUGGGAUCUUCCCGCGCAGGUUCGAAUCCUGCCGACUGCG
RNAcentral lists this transfer RNA (84 nucleotides) under Caerostris darwini. Its description in RNAcentral is "tRNA-Ser". It matches the Rfam family "tRNA". Rfam says of the family: Transfer RNA (tRNA) molecules are approximately 80 nucleotides in length. Their secondary structure includes four short double-helical elements and three loops (D, anti-codon, and T loops). The record is from RNAcentral. Lineage: Eukaryota; Metazoa; Arthropoda; Arachnida; Araneae; Araneidae.